UACGAAGGGGGCGAGCGUUGUUCGGAAUUACUGGGCGUAAAGGGCGCGUAGGCGGCCGAUCAAGUCAGAUGUGAAAGUCCUGGGCUUAACCUGGGGACUGCAUUUGAUACUGAUUGGCUUGAAUGCAGGAGAGGAUAGCGGAAUUCCCAGUGUAGAGGUGAAAUUCGUAGAUAUUGGGAAGAACACCGGUGGCGAAGGCGGCUAUCUGGGAAGAUACUGACGCUGAGGUGCGAAAGCGUGGAGAGCAAACAGG
This 253-nucleotide ribosomal RNA is filed under the name uncultured bacterium. Its description in RNAcentral is "partial 16S ribosomal RNA". It matches the Rfam family "Bacterial small subunit ribosomal RNA", at positions 524 to 776 of the family's 1533-position model. The record is from RNAcentral.